RNAcentral lists this transfer RNA (68 nucleotides) under Franciscoloa funerei. RNAcentral's name for it is "tRNA-Met". The record is from RNAcentral. Lineage: Eukaryota; Metazoa; Arthropoda; Insecta; Psocodea; Menoponidae.
UAAAAGAUAGGCUAUAUUAAGCCAACAGGUUCAUACCCUGUCGAAAAACUCCUCAUGUUUUCUUUUAA